UUGUUGCGGUUAAAAGCUCGUAGUUGGAUUUUGGGCGCAGGCGGCCGGUCCGUCGCAAGGCGUGUACUGGCCGUCCUGGCCUCACCUCCGGUUCUCCGCCGGUGCCCUUGACUGAGUGUCGGCGGCGGCCGGAACGUUUACUUUGAAAAAAUUAGAGUGUUCAAAGCAGGCGAUUCGCCUGAAUAAUGGUGCAUGGAAUAAUGGAAUAGGACCUCGGUUCUAUUUUGUUGGUUUUCGGAGCGCGAGGUAAUGAUUAAGAGGGACAGACGGGGGCAUUCGUACUGUGCCGUUAGAGGUGAAAUUCUUGGAUCGGCGCAAGACGAACGACUGCGAAAGCAUUUGCCAAGAAUGUUUUCUUUAAUCAAGAGCGAAAGUCAGAGGUUCGAAGACGAUCAGAUACCGUCCUAGUUCUGACUAUAAACGAUGCCAACUAGCGAUCGGGGGGCGUUAGUUUUACGACCUCUCCGGCAGCUUGCGGGAAACCAAAGUCUUUGGGUUCCGGGGGAAGUAUGGUUGCAAAGCUGAAACUUAAAGGAAUUGACGGAAGGGCACCACCAGGAGUGGAGCCUGCGGCUUAAUUUGACUCAACACGGGAAAUCUCACCCGGCCCGGACACAGUGAGGAUUGACAGAUUGAGAGCUCUUUCUUGAUUCUGUGGGUGGUGGUGCAUGGCCGUUCUUAGUUGGUGGAGCGAUUUGUCUGGUUAAUUCCGAUAACGAACGAGACUCUGGCUUGCUAACUAGUUACGCGACCCAAUCGGUCGGCGUCUAACUUCUUAGAGGGACUAGUGGCGUUUAGCCACACGAGAUUGAGCAAUAACAGGUCUGUGAUGCCCUUAGAUGUUCGGGGCCGCACGCGCGCUACACUGACCGGAUCAGCAUGUGCUCGCCUUGGCCGACAGGUCUGGGUAACCCGCUGAACCCCGGUCGUGCUAGGGAUAGGGAAUUGCAAUUAUUUCCCUUGAACGAGGAAUUCCCAGUAAGCGCGAGUCAUUAACUUCG
This 1001-nucleotide ribosomal RNA is filed under the name Ascidiella aspersa. RNAcentral's name for it is "SSU rRNA". It matches the Rfam family "Eukaryotic small subunit ribosomal RNA", at positions 610 to 1638 of the family's 1831-position model. The record is from RNAcentral. Lineage: Eukaryota; Metazoa; Chordata; Ascidiacea; Phlebobranchia; Ascidiidae.